ACUUUAGGUUAGGCGUGAAAUUGGAUUAAAGAUUUACACAAAGAUCCAACUCAUUUUUAAUAUAGAUAAAGUAAAUACCUCUACGAAGAUCUAACUCAUCGCUCUUUGGUUCAAAAGAAAAUUGGUGCACAAGAGGUACAUUGUGUUGUGAUUACCGAUUAAAAAGGAUGUGUUGCAAUGACUGAUCAAGUUGGAGGGAUUUUUGGGAUAUAUUGAACCGAUUAUGAAUCUGUGAUUUUAACAGGUAAAAAUAAUUAGGGUUUUAUUUUUGGUGAAUAUGGAAAUCCAUUGGGGUUGAAGAGUUUCCAACGAUGGAGAGAGGAGAGAAAAGGGAAAAUUCAAACUUUUUUUGGGGAAGGAGUUGUGCGCACUUGCUCUUGAAGUGGCUAAGGUUGAGGCAAUUUGAGUGUAUGCUGUGGUGGACAAUGUCAAGAAAACGAAUGCCAGGUGAAAAAAAUGGAGAAAGAGUCAAAUAACAACAAUAAGACUUCUUGAUUAUUGUGUGUUUGUUUCCAACAAAAGGUCGUGGAAGAAAAAAUAUUUUGUCAAUUAGAAUGAAGGGUAAACUGUGUGAUAGCAAUAGGAAUUUAAAUGGAGAAGCAAAUUUAAAGAAGGAUGAAUAUGUAGCAAACGAUCAUAAAAUGAAGAAAUUAUAACUGGUACAGAGAGGAAGGAUUGAAUAACGUUUGUAAUGAGUUCAAUGGUAAAGAAAAUAGAAGCGUAAAGAAUGAAUAGUGGUAUAUAUUUCGGUAUGAUUUUUUAUUUUGUGCAGAUUUUUUGAGAUUUAUUGACUGGAUAAUAAUUAGCUUCCCAUUAUAAUAAACAAACUUCCAUAUUUUAUUGGAUUGGAUUGGAUAUGAAGGAAUUUGAAAUUUUAAAUUA
Non-coding RNA from Lactuca sativa (garden lettuce), 882 nucleotides. The record is from RefSeq and is a predicted model, not a curated record. NCBI's taxonomy places the organism in Eukaryota, Viridiplantae, Streptophyta, Magnoliopsida, Asterales, Asteraceae.